RNAcentral lists this ribosomal RNA (253 nucleotides) under uncultured bacterium. RNAcentral's name for it is "partial 16S ribosomal RNA". It matches the Rfam family "Bacterial small subunit ribosomal RNA", at positions 524 to 776 of the family's 1533-position model. The record is from RNAcentral.
UACGUAGGGUGCGAGCGUUAAUCGGAAUUACUGGGCGUAAAGCGUGCGCAGGCGGUUCGUUAUGUCCGAUGUGAAAGCCCCGAGCUUAACUUGGGAAUGGCAUUGGAAACUGGCGGGCUGGAGUGCGGCAGAGGGGGGUGGAAUUCCACGUGUAGCAGUGAAAUGCGUAGAGAUGUGGAGGAACACCGAUGGCGAAGGCAGCCCCCUGGGCCGACACUGACGCUCAUGCACGAAAGCGUGGGGAGCAAACAGG